This 301-nucleotide ribosomal RNA is filed under the name uncultured bacterium. RNAcentral describes it as "partial 16S ribosomal RNA". It matches the Rfam family "Bacterial small subunit ribosomal RNA", at positions 509 to 809 of the family's 1533-position model. The record is from RNAcentral.
CAGUAGCCGCGGGAAUACAGAGGGUGCGAGCGUUAAUCGGAUUUACUGGGCGUAAAGCGUGCGUAGGCGGCUUCUUAAGUCGGAUGUGAAAUCCCUGAGCUUAACUUAGGAAUUGCAUUCGAUACUGGGAAGCUAGAGUAUGGGAGAGGAUGGUAGAAUUCCAGGUGUAGCGGUGAAAUGCGUAGAGAUCUGGAGGAAUACCGAUGGCGAAGGCAGCCAUCUGGCCUAAUACUGACGCUGAGGUACGAAAGCAUUGGGAGCAAACAGGAUUAGAUACCCGUGUAGUCCCUGUCUCUUAUAA